GAUGAAGAACGCAGCGAAAUGCGAUAAGUAAUGUGAAUUGCAGAAUUCAGUGAAUCAUCGAAUCUUUGAACGCACAUUGCGCCCGCCAGUAUUCUGGCGGGCAUGCCUGUCCGAGCGUCAUUUCAACCCUCGAACCCCUCCGGGGGGUCGGCGUUGGGGAUCGGCCCCUCACCGGGCCGCCCCCGAAAUCCAGUGGCGGUCUCGCCGCAGCCUCUCCUGCGCAGUAGUUUGCACACUCGCACCGGGAGCGCGGCGCGGCCACAGCCGUAAAACACCCCAAACUCUGAAAUGUUGACCUCGGAUCAGGUAGGAAUACCCGCUGAACUUAAGCAUAUCAAUAAGCGGAGGA
RNAcentral lists this unclassified non-coding RNA (349 nucleotides) under soil metagenome. RNAcentral's name for it is "partial contains 5.8S ribosomal RNA, internal transcribed spacer 2, and large subunit ribosomal RNA". The stretch from base 1 to 120 matches the Rfam family "5.8S ribosomal RNA", at positions 35 to 154 of the family's 154-position model. The record is from RNAcentral.